CAGUAGCCGCGGGAAUACGAAGGGGGCUAGCGUUGCUCGGAAUGACUGGGCGUAAAGGGCGCGUAGGCGGAUUGUUUAGUUAGGCGUGAAAUUCCUGGGCUUAACCUGGGGACUGCGCUUAAUACAGGCAGUCUAGAGUGAGGAAGAGGGUUGUGGAAUUCCCAGUGUAGAGGUGAAAUUCGUAGAUAUUGGGAAGAACACCGGUGGCGAAGGCGGCAACCUGGUCCUUGACUGACGCUGAGGCGCGAAAGCGUGGGGAGCAAACAGGAUUAGAUACCCCCGUAGUCCCUGUCUCUUAUAC
Molecule: ribosomal RNA, 301 nt
Filed under: uncultured bacterium
Lineage: Bacteria
Description: partial 16S ribosomal RNA
Rfam family: Bacterial small subunit ribosomal RNA
Source: RNAcentral